CUGGGGGGCAUCCAUCAUAUUCAUUGAUGA
Molecule: non-coding RNA, 30 nt
Filed under: Homo sapiens (human)
Lineage: Eukaryota; Metazoa; Chordata; Mammalia; Primates; Hominidae
Source: RNAcentral